Molecule: ribosomal RNA, 192 nt
Filed under: uncultured Chlamydiales bacterium
Lineage: Bacteria; Pseudomonadati; Chlamydiota; Chlamydiia; Chlamydiales
Description: partial 16S ribosomal RNA
Rfam family: Bacterial small subunit ribosomal RNA (bases 31-192)
Source: RNAcentral
ACGAAAAUAGUAGUAGCUUGCUACUAUUUUAGUAAUACAUGGGUAACUUGCCUUUAACUUGGGAAUAACGCUUGGAAACGAGCGCUAAUACCCAAUGUGGUGGCACAAGGCAUCUUGUGUUCAUUAAAGUGGGGGAUCGUAAGACCUCGCGGUUAAAGAGAGGCCCAUGGGAUAUCAGCUUGUUGGUGAGGU